This 511-nucleotide ribosomal RNA is filed under the name uncultured bacterium. RNAcentral's name for it is "bacterial SSU rRNA". It matches the Rfam family "Bacterial small subunit ribosomal RNA", at positions 15 to 518 of the family's 1533-position model. The record is from RNAcentral.
GAUCAUGGCUCAGGAUGAACGCUAGCGGCAGGCUUAACACAUGCAAGUCGAGGGGCAGCGGGCUGUAGCAAUACGGUGCCGGCGACCGGCGGACGGGUGCGUAACGCGUAUGCAACCUGCCCGGCACAGGGGAAUAGCCCGGCGAAAGCCGGAGUAAUGCCCCAUGGUUCCAACUUCCCGCAUGGGGAGUUGGAUAAACCCGCGAGGGGGUGCCGGAUGGGCAUGCGUGGCAUUAGGCAGUUGGCGGGGUAACGGCCCACCAAACCGACGAUGCCUAGGGGUCCUGAGAGGGAGGUCCCCCACAUUGGAACUGAGACACGGUCCAAACUCCUACGGGAGGCAGCAGUGAGGAAUAUUGGUCAAUGGAGGCAACUCUGAACCAGCCAUGCCGCGUGCAGGAAGACGGCCUUAUGGGUUGUAAACUGCUUUUGUUCGGGACGAGCAUGAAUACGCGUAUUCAAGUGACGGUACCGGAAGAAUAAGCACCGGCUAACUCCGUGCCAGCCGCCGC